UGAGGAAUAUUGGUCAAUGGACGAGAGUCUGAACCAGCCAAGUAGCGUGCAGGAUGACGGCCCUAUGGGUUGUAAACUGCUUUUGUUUGGGAAUAAUCGACAUUACGUGUAAUGUUUUGCAUGUACCAUUCGAAUAAGGACCGGCUAAUUCCGUGCCAGCAGCCGCGGUAAUACGGAAGGUCCAGGCGUUAUCCGGAUUUAUUGGGUUUAAAGGGAGCGUAGGCCGUUUGGUAAGCGUGUUGUGAAAUGUAGGAGCUCAACUUCUAGAUUGCAGCGCGAACUGUCAGACUUGAGUGCGCACAACGUAGGCGGAAUUCAUGGUGUAGCGGUUAAAUGCUUAGAUAUCAUGAAGAACUCCGAUUGCGAAGGCAGCUUACGGGAGCGCAACUGACGCUGAAGCUCGAAGGUGCGGGUAUCGAACAGG
This 424-nucleotide ribosomal RNA is filed under the name Verrucomicrobiota bacterium. RNAcentral describes it as "Verrucomicrobia bacterium partial 16S ribosomal RNA". It matches the Rfam family "Bacterial small subunit ribosomal RNA", at positions 355 to 776 of the family's 1533-position model. The record is from RNAcentral. Lineage: Bacteria; Pseudomonadati; Verrucomicrobiota.